Molecule: small nucleolar RNA, 138 nt
Filed under: Ornithorhynchus anatinus (platypus)
Lineage: Eukaryota; Metazoa; Chordata; Mammalia; Monotremata; Ornithorhynchidae
Source: RNAcentral
GUCCUCUUGGGGUUGCACUUGGAGAAUUUCCAGUACUCUACCAUUCUCGACUACGGGAGGGAGAGUCAAGCAGAGGCAUAUCCAUUCCAUUCCUAGCUUGGGCAGUGGCUAGCGAGUGGAAGGCAAUCUGCUACGAGU